GUGGGCUGCCUUGUGAGAGAGUGUCCCUGUCACUGUGGGUGUGCCAACAGCUUCAGAACAAUCACUGACCUGGAUGACAUGGACAGAUUAGAGUUCACGCGUCAGAUAGAUAACAGUGAAGGUGCCUCCUGAUUGCGAGAUUCAGGAAAUUCCUUACUGCUGGACCGCACCCGCUUUUGAGGACCUCUGGAUCUCCUUGGGCAGAGCAGAAGCCAGACAGAGACUGGAACUGUGAAGUGACAAUCCCCAGCCCUGUGUGUGCCAGGAGCCCCCAGGGGUGUGUCUCGGAGAUAGUCUGCGCAGAACCACCUAGGGGUUUGCUGACAAUGCCCCAGCUGAGUCAGAAUCUCCAGGGAGCCAAGGAGUCAGUGUACCCAACAAGUUCCAGGUGAGUCUUAGGCCCACUGAAUGGAGACCACUCGGCUGAGACGGGGCGUGCCUGGGCAGCAGGGCCUGGGUUUUCCUCCAUCUGCCCACGGGGCCUGUUUGUUGAAUGUGACCCUCAAGUGCAAGCAGUGUCUUUGUUCCUUGUCAGUAAGAGCUGUGCCAUUUCCCUUCCCCAGGCUCCCAAAGCCCCAUGCCAAAAGGAUGGCACACGUACUCAAGAAUUUCAGGCAUUGGACAGCAGAGGAAAGUGAUUCUUUGGGGGUUCUUAGGGGCUUCCCCAAAUCCUACCAAGGAGGUCUCAAGGGAGGACACUCCUGCCUCCUUCACUGCCCCGGUUGCGCCUGUUCUCCAUAAAAUGGAGAUAAAUAGCUCUGUGAUGUGGUUGGAGGUGACCCACUUAGUCUUGAAAGUUAGAAAUUCUGCAUGACUGGCUUAAUUCAUUUGGGGUGGGGAAGAUUGGUGGUGAGAAAUAAUUAUUUGCAAGCUACUUCCAAGAUAAUACAGAGAGAAGCAGAAGGAUAAUAUAUAAGACUAGUAAAUGAGCACACACGUCAUUUUCAUGUUUUAGAUCAAUUUUAUUGAGGCAUAAUUUAUAUACAAUACAACAUACCCAUUUAAGUGGGCAGUUUGGUGAGUUUUGACAAAGUGUGUUUGCCUGUGUAACCACUAUCACAAUAUAGAUCAUCUCCUGUGCUCCAAAAAUUCCUGUGCUCCUUUUUUGCAACCAGUCUCCGCCUGGCCUGUGAGUCCCUCAUCUGCCUUCUGUCCCCAUGGAUUAGAUUUGUAUUUCAUAGGACUUUACAUAAAUGGAAUCAUACAGUAGGUGCUGUUUUGUGUCUGUCUUCUUUUGCUCAGCAUAAUGUUUUUGAGAUUUGUCUGUGUUGUUGCACAUGUAUUAGAUGUUUGUUCCUUUUUAUUGCUGGUUAUAAUAUAAUAUUAUAUUAUAGUUUGUUUAUGCAUUCUCCUGUCAAUUGACAUUAGGGUGGUUUCUAGUUUGGGGCUAAUGUGAAAAAAUUGCUCUGAAAGUUGGUGUACAACUCUUUGUUUUGUGGACAUUUGUUUUUAUUGCUCUUGGCAGCAAAUUUGCUGGGUUGUAUGAAAAUGUAGGUGUAACUUCAACAGAAACUGACAAACUGGGUUCCAAAGUGGCUGACUGUUCCACCAGCAGGAUGGGAGUUCCAGUUGCUCCACACCUUUGACAGCACUUGGUAUUGUCAGUCUUUUUAAUUUUAGAAUUUCUGGUUAGGCGUACAGUGGUCCCUCACUGAAGCAUGCUCGUUUUAUCCAUCCACCAAGGCUUAUAUGAUCUGGCUCUUGUCCACCUCUCCAAUCUCUUCUGACCCACUCUCCCCACCCCAUGCUCUUCCCCAGUCACUCUAAGCAUCUCUCUGUUCCUCAUGUGCUCCAGGCUCAUUUUUUUUUUUUUUUAAUGCUAAUCCUCUCGACAUUUCCAUAACUGGCCCCUUCUCAUCAUUUAGGUCUUAGCACAAGGGUGGCCUCCUCAGAGAUCUUCUUUCACCACCCUCUCUAACAGUGUCUCCAACUCUUAGAUGUCUCUGUUUUUCCCUUUGUGGCAGUGAGCCUAUCUGAAAGAAUCUUGUUUGUCUACUUGUUGACUGUCUGCCCUAUGAAACUAUAAUUUCUGUGACAAAAGCAUCUUGUCUGUUCCAUUCACAACAGUACCCAAUAGAUAAUAGGUAUUCAAUAUAUAUUGUUGGAUGGAUUUGAUGGUUUAAAGUGCACAUUCAAUAUAUUGGUCUUUGGGGUCUUGGAAAUUGAAGGGUAUCCAUAUUAAUAAAAUGGAAAUAUUUAGAGCACAAAUUAUUUUCAUGGUCUGGAGCUGAUCCAUUUGCAUGUAAAUAUGCCUAGAAACCUAGAAAUACAAAAGUAGAAGGAAGGUGUUUUAGAUACCAUAAAAUAAGUUGGCUUUAAACAAUGGGAAUUUAUUAGCUUACAGCUUGAGGUCAUGAGAAUGUUCAAA
Long non-coding RNA from Choloepus didactylus (southern two-toed sloth), 2368 nucleotides. RefSeq lists it as uncharacterized. The record is from RefSeq and is a predicted model, not a curated record. NCBI's taxonomy places the organism in Eukaryota, Metazoa, Chordata, Mammalia, Pilosa, Megalonychidae. The transcript has 3 exons.